AUCACAUCAUAAGUGAUAGCAUGUCAGUAAAAGAGUUCAAAAGCUACAUUCCCUUAUCGACUUCAGGAUACAACUGAGACUAACAACUCAUACCGUUGCACCAAAAUUUAGCAGGUAGUGACUACGGAUGAGGUGAUCGCCGGAGAUCUCAGUUAUGAGCUCACAAAAGAGAAAGUGAACCUACCAGGAACCGAGGAGAAAAUCUCUGCAAGAUUGAUCAGCAGCGGCACGAAGAAUCUCGCGAUCGAAGCCGUUGGAAUCUGCUCACCGGAGACGUCGUGAUCUCAAAGUCGCUGGAGACGUCGUGAUCUCAAAGUCGCUCUUGCACUGGAUCAAAACGAAGUGAUGAUAGAAAGAGAGAGAAGAGAGCUUCUGGUAACUACUGAGGGUUUAAGCAUGAGGAGAAGGAUUGGCACAUCUAUAUAAACAGAGAGCUGAGGCAGUGGCAAGAAGUCUUGUGGUGAUCGGAAACGGAGGAAAGAGACCUUCAUGGACUUUUGUGACAGCUAAUAUCCAACCCAUGAGAGGGCCCCUCAUCUCUGCAAGGGUUGAUGUUAGACCGAGCCUUCUGAAGAGGCUUGUCAGGGGUUGAUAGCAUCAAAACCAGCAUUCUGAUGCGAGUUCGAACUGCUGUAGCUGGCACAUUCCACAGUGUGGAUCAUUGGAUUUGCCUAGGUAGUAGAGGCAAAAGAUUGUGCUACAUAUUUAAUUAGAGGAGGUUGGAUUUAUUGAUUUAUAACAGGAUCGUACUAAUCGUGAAAUUUGAAUCGAUUGGAGGUGAUUUCUU
This is a long non-coding RNA of Musa acuminata subsp. malaccensis (wild Malaysian banana), 787 nucleotides long. RefSeq lists it as uncharacterized. The record is from RefSeq and is a predicted model, not a curated record. Lineage: Eukaryota; Viridiplantae; Streptophyta; Magnoliopsida; Zingiberales; Musaceae.